Molecule: ribosomal RNA, 478 nt
Filed under: uncultured bacterium
Lineage: Bacteria
Description: bacterial SSU rRNA
Rfam family: Bacterial small subunit ribosomal RNA
Source: RNAcentral
GACGAACGCUGGCGGCGUGCUUAACACAUGCAAGUCGAACGGAGCUUCUUGGAUAGAGACUUCGGUCAAUUGAAUUGAAGCCUAGUGGCGGACGGGUGAGUAACACGUGAGCAACCUGCCUUUUGGAACGGGAUACCGUUUGGAAACGAACGUUAAUACCGUAUAAAGUAGCGAAUCCGCAUGCUUUUGCUACCAAAGAUUUAUCGCCAAAAGAUGGGCUCGCGUCUGAUUAGAUAGUUGGUGAGGUAACGGCCCACCAAGUCGACGAUCAGUAGCCGGACUGAGAGGUUGAACGGCCACAUUGGGACUGAGACACGGCCCAGACUCCUACGGGAGGCAGCAGUGGGGAAUAUUGCACAAUGGGCGCAAGCCUGAUGCAGCGAUGCCGCGUGAGGGAAGAAGGUUUUCGGAUUGUAAACCUCUGUCAUCGGGGACGAUAAUGACGGUACCCGAGAAGGAAGCUCCGGCUAACUACGUG